This 458-nucleotide ribosomal RNA is filed under the name uncultured Alphaproteobacteria bacterium. RNAcentral's name for it is "bacterial SSU rRNA". It matches the Rfam family "Bacterial small subunit ribosomal RNA", at positions 1072 to 1533 of the family's 1533-position model. Lineage: Bacteria; Pseudomonadati; Pseudomonadota; Alphaproteobacteria. The record is from RNAcentral.
GAGAGUGGGUAGUCCGCACGAGCGCACCCUAUCUUCAGUUGCCAUCAGGUUAUGCUGGGCACUCUGAAGAGACUGCCGGUGAUAAGCCGGAGGAAGGCGGGGAUGACGUCAAGUCCUCAUGGCCCUUAUGACCUGGGCUACACACGUGCUACAAUGGCGUUGACAAUGAGCAGCGAUAGCGUAAGCUUCAGCUAACCUCAAAAAUACGUCUCAGUUCGGAUAGAUCUCUGCAACUCGAGUUCUUGAAGUUGGAAUCGCUAGUAAUCGCAGAUCAGCAUGCUGCGGUGAAUACGUUCCCGGGCCUUGUACACACCGCCCGUCACACCAUGGAAGUUGGUUUUACCCAAAGACGACAAGCUAACCGCAAGGAGGCAGUCGGCUACGGUAGGGUCAGCGACUGGGGUGAAGUCGUAACAAGGUAGCCGUACCGGAAGGUGUGGCUGGAUCACCUCCUUUCU